UCGGGAAUCUUGGUCAAUGGGCGAAAGCCUGAACCAGCAACUCCGCGUGAGGGAUGAAGGCCCUCGGGUCGUAAACCUCUGUCAGAAGGGAAGAAUAGGGUCGUUUCAAAUAGGUUCGACCUCUGACGGUACCUUCAAAGGAAGCACCGGCUAACUCCGUGCCAGCAGCCGCGGUAAUACGGAGGGUGCAAGCGUUGUUCGGAAUUAUUGGGCGUAAAGCGGGUGUAGGCGGCUUUGCAAGUCGGAUGUGAAAUCCCUGGGCCCAACCCAGGAACUGCAUUCGAUACUGCAUCGCUAGAGUCCCGGAGAGGAUGGCGGAAUUCCAGGUGUAGAGGUGAAAUUCGUAGAUAUCUGGAGGAACACCAGUGGCGAAGGCGGCCAUCUGGACGGUGACUGACGCUCAGACCCGAAAGCGUGGGGAGCAAACAGG
RNAcentral lists this ribosomal RNA (430 nucleotides) under uncultured bacterium. Its description in RNAcentral is "bacterial SSU rRNA". It matches the Rfam family "Bacterial small subunit ribosomal RNA", at positions 355 to 776 of the family's 1533-position model. The record is from RNAcentral.